This 314-nucleotide ribosomal RNA is filed under the name uncultured bacterium. RNAcentral's name for it is "bacterial SSU rRNA". It matches the Rfam family "Bacterial small subunit ribosomal RNA", at positions 28 to 334 of the family's 1533-position model. The record is from RNAcentral.
GGUAAACGCUGGCGGCGUGCAUAACACAUUCAAGUCGAACGAACUGAUUCGAAAGUUUUCUUUUGAUGAAAGUUAGUGGCGGACGGGUGAGUAACGCGUGAGCAACCUGCCUGUCUGUGGGGAAUAACACAUGGAAACGUGUGCUAAUACCGCAUGAAGCAAUCUGAUCGCAUGUUUGGAUUGCCAAAGAUUUAUCGCAGACAGAUGGGCUCGCGUCUGAUUAGCUAGUUGGUGAGGUAACGGCCCACCAAGGCGACGAUCAGUAGCCGGACUGAGAGGUUGAACGGCCACAUUGGAACUGAGAUACGGUCCAG